Molecule: ribosomal RNA, 253 nt
Filed under: uncultured bacterium
Lineage: Bacteria
Description: partial 16S ribosomal RNA
Rfam family: Bacterial small subunit ribosomal RNA
Source: RNAcentral
UACGGGGGGGGUAAGCGUUGUUCGGAAUUACUGGGCGUAAAGGGCUCGUAGGCGGCCAACUAAGUCAGACGUGAAAUCCCUCAGCUUAACUGGGGAACUGCGUCUGAUACUGGAUGGCUUGGAUUCGGGAGAGGAAUGCGGAAUUCCAGGUGUAGCGGUGAAAUGCGUAGAUAUCUGGAGGAACACCGGUGGCGAAGGCGGCAUUCUGGACCGACACUGACGCUGAUGUGCGAAAGCUAGGGGAGCAAACGGG